AGUUUUAAACCCUAAACUGAACUUUUUCCAUUCAGUCAGCAUUAGGGUUUUAAACCCUGAACUGAACUUUUCCAGCCAGUCAGCAUUAGGGUUUAAAACACUAAACUGAACUUUUUCCAUUCAGUCAGUAUUAGGGUUUUAAACCCUAAACUGAACUUUUCCUUUAGUCAGCAUUAGGGCCCCAACCCUAAACUGAACUUUUCCCCAGUUGGUCAGCAAUAGAGUUUCAACUCUAAACUGAACUU
Molecule: long non-coding RNA, 245 nt
Filed under: Nicotiana tabacum (common tobacco)
Lineage: Eukaryota; Viridiplantae; Streptophyta; Magnoliopsida; Solanales; Solanaceae
Description: long non-coding RNA (NTAB_LNC017466)
Source: RNAcentral